Molecule: transfer RNA, 72 nt
Filed under: Rhizobium leguminosarum bv. trifolii
Lineage: Bacteria; Pseudomonadati; Pseudomonadota; Alphaproteobacteria; Hyphomicrobiales; Rhizobiaceae
Description: tRNA-Val
Rfam family: tRNA
About the family: Transfer RNA (tRNA) molecules are approximately 80 nucleotides in length. Their secondary structure includes four short double-helical elements and three loops (D, anti-codon, and T loops).
Source: RNAcentral
UGCAUUGAAGCUGAAUGGUGCAGCGUAACCCUAACAAGGUUAAGUGCCCGGGUUCAAUUCCCGGCUUUGCAA